This 74-nucleotide transfer RNA is filed under the name Clostridiales bacterium. Its description in RNAcentral is "tRNA-Ile". It matches the Rfam family "tRNA". From Rfam's summary of the family: Transfer RNA (tRNA) molecules are approximately 80 nucleotides in length. Lineage: Bacteria; Bacillati; Bacillota; Clostridia; Eubacteriales. The record is from RNAcentral.
GGACCUUUAGCUCAGUUGGUUAGAGCAAUCGGCUCAUAACCGAUCGGUCCCGGGUUCGAGUCCCUGAGGGUCCA